Molecule: ribosomal RNA, 253 nt
Filed under: uncultured bacterium
Lineage: Bacteria
Description: partial 16S ribosomal RNA
Rfam family: Bacterial small subunit ribosomal RNA
Source: RNAcentral
UACGUAGGGUGCAAGCGUUGUCCGGAAUUAUUGGGCGUAAAGGGCUCGUAGGCGGUCUGUCGCGUCGGGAGUGAAAACUCAGGGCUUAACCCUGAGCCUGCUUCCGAUACGGGCAGACUAGAGGUAUGCAGGGGAGAACGGAAUUCCUGGUGUAGCGGUGAAAUGCGCAGAUAUCAGGAGGAACACCGGUGGCGAAGGCGGUUCUCUGGGCAUUACCUGACGCUGAGGAGCGAAAGUGUGGGGAGCGAACAGG